AGUAAAAACAGCAAAAUGAGAUGUUCUCGGCACAGACUGAGACAGACAACUGCAAUUAAUGUAGACCUGGAAACCUGGAGAGAGUUUACAUUUCCGACAAACAUCGUCAGAAAUUGGGAGAACAAAUACCCUUUUAAAGACGAGACUACUCCGUUGAAGAUGCGAAUUUUCCCAGUGGAUUCAAUGGUCUUCAGUCACAAUUCAAUUUUAAAAAUCUCUAGUCCUUAUUAGCAAGUCUUUUAGUCUUUGUUAAUUCUCUAGGAUAUCAAUGAUUGAAAACCGACCUGCUCAAUAUAAAUUUCAGGGCGACUUGGCUACACU
RNAcentral lists this long non-coding RNA (321 nucleotides) under Androctonus crassicauda. The record is from RNAcentral. Lineage: Eukaryota; Metazoa; Arthropoda; Arachnida; Scorpiones; Buthidae.